AGGCAGUGUGGUUAGCUGGUUGUGGAAUCGAGGUACACAGCCACUUAUUACACUACCCAU
Molecule: microRNA precursor, 60 nt
Filed under: Xenoturbella bocki
Lineage: Eukaryota; Metazoa; Xenacoelomorpha; Xenoturbellidae
Description: Xbo-Mir-34-P25a_pre stem-loop
Source: RNAcentral